RNAcentral lists this unclassified non-coding RNA (242 nucleotides) under soil metagenome. Its description in RNAcentral is "partial internal transcribed spacer 1". The record is from RNAcentral.
CCAGAAAGUACCUCGGGCGAGAGCCCGCAAGUACCUCAACCCUUUCCGCGUACCAUUACCAUGUUGCCUUCCGCGUGGUCAACGGGGCGAGCGUUGGCUAUCAUUGCCCGCCUGCUCCUUUGCGGUGAGGUCGCACCAGUUUGCGGCCAAACCUCAAGCCCGCGGAGGGGCUUCAACCCAAACCCUUUGCUUCGAAAACGCUGUAGCCUGUCUGAGCUUGCAAAAUGGAAAGAAUAAAGUCA